This 1470-nucleotide ribosomal RNA is filed under the name uncultured Bordetella sp. Its description in RNAcentral is "partial 16S-23S ribosomal RNA intergenic spacer". It matches the Rfam family "Bacterial small subunit ribosomal RNA". The record is from RNAcentral. Lineage: Bacteria; Pseudomonadati; Pseudomonadota; Betaproteobacteria; Burkholderiales; Alcaligenaceae.
AGUUCGAUCAUGGCUCAGAUUGAACGCUGGCAGGAUGCUUUACACAUACCGCAAGUCGAACGGCAGCACGGACUUCGGUCUGGUGGCGAGUGGCGAACGGGUGAGUAAUGUAUCGGAACGUGCCUAGUAGCGGGGGAUAACUACGCGGCAGCAGCUAAUACCGCAUACGCCCUUCGGGGGAAACGGGGGACCUUCGGGCCUCGCACUAUUAGAGCGGCCGAUAUCGGAUUAGCUAGUUGGUGGGGUAACGGCUCGCAAGGCGACGAUCCGUAGCUGGUUUGGAGGACGACCAGCCACACUGGGACUGAGGCACGGCCCAGACUCCUACGGGAGGCAGCAGUGGGGAAUUUGGACAAUGGGGGAAACCCUGAUCCAGCCAUCCCGCGUGUGCGAUGACUUCGGGUUGUAAAGCACUUUUGGCAGGAAAGAAACGGCACGGGAUAAUGCCCCGUGCAACUGACAGUACCUGCAGAAUAAGCACCGGCUAACUACGUGCCAGUAGCCAUGGUAAUACGUAGAAUUGCAAGCGUUAAUCGGAAUUACUGGGCGUAAAGCGUGCGCAGGCGGUUCGGAAGAAGAUGUAGAAAUCCCCAGAACACUUUGGAACUGCAUUUUUAACUACCGAGCUAGAGUGUGUCAGGAGGUGGAAUUCCGCGUGUAGCAGUGAAAUGCGUGAAUAUGCGGAGAACACCGAUGGCGAAGGCAGCCUCCUGGGAUAACACUGACGCUCAUGCACGAAAGCGUGGGAGCAAACAGGAUUGCAAGAUACCCUGGUAGUCCGCGCCCUAAACGAUGUCAACUAGCUGUUGGGGCCUUUGGGCCUUGGUAGCGCAACUAACGCGUGAAGUUGACCGCCUGGGAAAUUACGGUCGCAAGAUUAAAACUCAAGAGAUUGACUGGGGACCCGCACAAGCGGUGGAUGAUGUGGAUUAAUUCGAUGCAACGCGAAAAACCUUACCUACCCGCGACAUGUCUGAAUCCCAGAGGUGGGAGUGCUCGCAAGAGAACCGGAACACAGGUGCCAUGGCUCGUCGUCAACUCGUGUCGUGGAGAUGUUGGGUUAAGUCCCGCAACGAGCGCAACCCUUGUCAUUAGUUGCCACGAAAGAACGCUCUAAUGAGACUGCCGGUGACAAACCGGAGGAAGGAAGAAUUAGAGGAUGACGUCAAGUCCUCAUGGCCCUUAUGGGUAGGGACUACACGUCAUACAAUGGUCGGGACAGAAGGUCGCCAACCCGCGAGGAGGAGCCGAUGCAGGAAACCCGAUCGUAGUCCGGAUCGCAGUCUGCAACUCGGCUGCGUGAAGUCGGAAUCGCUAGUAAUCGCCGGAUCAGCAUGUCGCAGUGAAUACGUUCGGUCUUCCUGCACCGCCCGUCACCAUGGGAGUGGGUUUUACCAGAAGUAAGUUGACCUGGCCGUAAGGGCGAUUACCACAGUAGGACCAUGACUGGGUGAAGUCGUAACAAGGUAG